GAUGAACGCUGGCAGAAUGCUUAACACAUGCAAGUCCACUUGAAUUUGGGUUUUUAACUUAGGUUUGGGUGGCGGACGGGUGAGUAACGCGUAAAGAACUUGCCUCACAGCUAGGGACAACAUUUGGAAACGAAUGCUAAUACCUAAUAUUAUGAUAAUAGGGCAUCCUAUAAUUAUGAAAGCUAUAAGCGCUGUGAGAGAGCUUUGCGUCCCAUUAGCUAGUUGGAGAGGUAACGGCUCACCAAGGCGAUGAUGGGUAGCCGGCCUGAGAGGGUGAUCGGCCACAAGGGGACUGAGACACGGCCCUUACUCCUACGGGAGGCAGCAGUGGGGAAUAUUGGACAAUGGACCGAGAGUCUGAUCCAGCAAUUCUGUGUGCACGAUGAAGUUUUUCGGAAUGUAAAGUGCUUUCAGUUGGGAAGAAACAAAUGACGGUACCAACAGAAGAAGUGACGGCUAAAUACGUG
RNAcentral lists this ribosomal RNA (467 nucleotides) under uncultured bacterium. RNAcentral describes it as "partial 16S ribosomal RNA". It matches the Rfam family "Bacterial small subunit ribosomal RNA", at positions 28 to 507 of the family's 1533-position model. The record is from RNAcentral.